GCGUAGGCGGCCUACCAAGUCCGAUGUGAAAUCUCCCGGCUCAACUGGGAGGUGCAUUAGAAACUGGUAAGCUAGAGUGCAGCAGAGGAAAGUGGAAUUCCCGGUGUAGUGGUAAAAUGCGUAGAUAUCGGGAGGAACACUAGUGGCGAAGGCGGCUUUCUGGGCUGCAACUGACGCUGAGGUCCGAAGGCGUGGGUAGCAAACA
Molecule: ribosomal RNA, 205 nt
Filed under: uncultured bacterium
Lineage: Bacteria
Description: partial 16S ribosomal RNA
Rfam family: Bacterial small subunit ribosomal RNA
Source: RNAcentral